This 221-nucleotide ribosomal RNA is filed under the name Zea mays. RNAcentral describes it as "4.5S RNA". Lineage: Eukaryota; Viridiplantae; Streptophyta; Magnoliopsida; Poales; Poaceae. The record is from RNAcentral.
CAUUCCCUCCCUAGCCUACCCGCCCUUUAUUUAAGCGGAAACAACCACUAUAGGCUACUUAGACUAAAAUAAAAAAUAGGGGCCCUUCUCUAAGUCUAAGAAGGAAGCAGCAUUACUUCAUUUUUUUUACCAAGGAAUGGACUCACUUCCACUCCUUAGCCUGCCAUUGAAAUGAAAACAGACUUUAGGGACUCGUUUUCGAAACGAUCCGGUACCAAAUU